Molecule: ribosomal RNA, 498 nt
Filed under: uncultured bacterium
Lineage: Bacteria
Description: bacterial SSU rRNA
Rfam family: Bacterial small subunit ribosomal RNA
Source: RNAcentral
GAUGAACGCUAGCGGCAGGCUUAACACAUGCAAGUCGUGGGGCAGCGCGGACUUCGGUCUGGCGGCGACCGGCAAACGGGUGCGGAACACGUACGCAACCUCCCUCAGAGCGGGAAUAGCCUCUCGAAAGAGAGAUUAAUACCCCAUAGUAUCUUGAAGACACAUGUCUAUGAGAUUAAAGCUUCGGCACUUUGAGAUGGGCUGCGGCUGAUUAGGUAGUUGGUAGGGUAACGGCCUACCAAGCCGACGAUCAGUAGCUGAUGUGAGAGCAUGAUCAGCCACACGGGCACUGAGACACGGGCCCGACUCCUACGGGAGGCAGCAGUGAGGAAUAUUGGGUCAAAUGGAGGAAACUCUGAACCAGCCAUGCCGCGUGGAGGAUGAAGGUCCUCUGGAUUGUAAACUCCUUUAUAAAAGAAGAAACCCCAUUUUCUAAAUGGGUUGACGGUACUUUAUGAAUAAGCACCGGCUAACUCCGUGCCAGCAGCCGCGGUAAUC